GUUCCUGUAGUUAAAUUUAUAACAAUGGCUUUUCAUGCCAUAGACCUUGGAUAGAGGCCAGGCAGGAACU
This 70-nucleotide transfer RNA is filed under the name Melanocharis striativentris (Streaked berrypecker). RNAcentral describes it as "tRNA-Glu". It matches the Rfam family "tRNA". From Rfam's summary of the family: Transfer RNA (tRNA) molecules are approximately 80 nucleotides in length. Their secondary structure includes four short double-helical elements and three loops (D, anti-codon, and T loops). The record is from RNAcentral. Lineage: Eukaryota; Metazoa; Chordata; Aves; Passeriformes; Melanocharitidae.